Molecule: long non-coding RNA, 3249 nt
Filed under: Strongylocentrotus purpuratus (purple sea urchin)
Lineage: Eukaryota; Metazoa; Echinodermata; Echinoidea; Camarodonta; Strongylocentrotidae
Description: uncharacterized LOC115926127
Source: RNAcentral
CUCAAGAAGACAACUGGAAGAGAAAGGGCCGGGAAAUUUCCUGUUCGCUUCACUCCCUCACCCACACACCCACACACACCUCACACAUUCAUCCAUCAUGAAGUCCGGAUCGGUAUUGCUCCUCACAUUGGCAACUGCGUGCUUGGUCUUACUAUUACAGAGCAGGGGUACGCAUGCGCGAGCCUUCGAUAUGAACAUGCUUGAUGAGAGGGAAACGGCAGAAGGCGCAUUCCAAAAGAGAGACGCAGCACUCCGAAACACACUUAAAUCCUUAAUUAUGCGCAAAAACACAGAUGACAGGCUUUUUGAGCCAGCUGCAGUAGCACAGAAGCGAGGAGGAUCCAAGUCGAUUGAUUACGCCGAGGACAUGGUCAAGUUCGCCCUCUGGUGCCGGCAGAUGAAUAUAGAAUGCUAGUACAUCCACCUUGCUUUCUGUACAUCCCUUUAUUUUUACAUCGAUCUUCUAAUCGCUCACAGUAAGAAGAACCUGGCAUUCUUAAAUUCAACCAACACCAAUCAAGCCACGUCGGACAAAAGGAUCAUCUCCUAAAUACACAAAGAUUUUGUCUUCAAUCCUCUGCGUUUCUUUAAUACAAGAACGGCCCGGAAUUCCACCAUGAACAAUUUUUCAGAAAAUAACGGAACAGUGUCGUGGUGACUUCAUUUUGUGAUGACUACAUCUGUGUUACUCGAUUUUAAUUUUACAUUCAGUUUCACUCAGUUUUAUUUGUUACGUUAUAAGUUAUUUCGCUGUAAAAGACCCACGGUAAAAGAAAAAACGCGUUCUUCUCUUGUGAGUCCGAUGAUGGCGCUAUAUCAGUAAAAAGAAAAGCAGUUCAAAGCUUUCUGUAUCGGAACGAUCUCAAAUCAGAAAUCACGUUUCAAGUGGUUAGAAGGAGUUACCGCUCAUUCUUUUUAAUGACAGUGACAUCUGUUUGAACACGGUCUGUUUUUAGCUGCCUUGUACAUAUUUCAGAUAGAAGUCAAUUGUAACGGAGACCCCGUUUGUCCAUUAUUCUUGCCAAUGCAUUAAUUUAAAAUAAUACCAUUCCUUUUUAUCACUAGGAUACAUGUAAUAUCUACGCAGCCUUGCAGUGUUUUAUUAGAAUUACAAAAUUAAUAUCAACCUAUAUAUAUAGUUAUAUAUAGUUUGAUAUGGAUUAAUUACUCCUUGUUGCAUACCCCGUCGAGAUGUUUGUAUAUAUCAUUCGGUAUUUUUCCUCUUUUUAAGAAAUGCUUAUUUUGUAGAAUAAAAAUAAUGCAAUUAAAAUCAAUGGCGAAUAUAAGAUAAGCUUGCUGUUAAUAAAAAUGUUCUGCAUCGACCUUUCAAUCAGAUUGUUUAGAAGGUACAAUUCUAUAAUGUAAAAGAGCCUUUAAUCAUCAUCAUAACAAUACUGAUAAUAAUACUGUAAUCACUUCGGCCAGUCGUUACUAGCAAAGCGUUUUUUAAACAUGUUUAUUCAGUUGCUUUAAUUUCGUGUUUUUUCCCAAACUGCUAGGUAUUAUAAGAACGCAAAUAAACUCUUACACAGUGCCAUGUAUUAUAUUUUUUGCAAUCGUGCAAUCAGAUUUGUCUCUUAUUAUAAAACCUUGCCUAUAUAACCAGCACCUUAUUAACGAUUCUACUGUGAGUCGGUAUCAUGAUACCUAAUAAACAACAAAAAUUUGUUCAAAAAUUAAUAUGACCCAGGCCAACACAAUUUGCUUAGUACCUUGUAUCAAUUUACAGAAAAGUGGUUUGCAAAUAUGCUCUCUGCAUAGAAUUCACAUUACCUUAAGAGCUUUUCCAUGUAAUUUUAAAUUGCCAAACAUGGUGGGAAACAUUCAAAAUUACCAUGCCAUAGUUGCUGCAGAGGUUCUGUCUCAAUAUUCACCAUGAAAAGAUGGCAACGACUAAUCCUUGUCGUUUCAUUAUCUUAGAGGAAAUUAAGAGUCACAUUAGGCAAGUGUAUGAAAUUUAAUAUCAGUAAUACUUAAAGGUAUCACUUCCCUUCAUGUCUCCAUGGAAACAAUGUAAAUUAUAAUUUUCGUCACUUAUUUUAGAGUGUUUUUUCUUUAAAAGUAUCAUAAUGUGUCGUCUACGUAUAAAAGGUAACACAGUUUGCGGUGCAGUGGAAGAAAAUGGGACCAGUUUACACAGUUAAAAAGAUGAAAAUAUCGUGAAAAUAUAUUUUCCUCACUGAGCGCUUAUUUCAUUCUUAUGGAAACUCUUAACGAAUUUCCUUAACAUAUUAAAACAGUAUCUUUAGGUCUCUCUCCCUAUCCCUAGUGAGAGUACAAUUUUGUUUAAUAAUUUUGUUUAAUAACCGAUUGAUAGCAUGCUUAUUCAUUUACAUAAUUAAAACUGCUUGUGUUUUCUUUUUAAAUACUUAUUGCUAUAUUUCGAUGUUAUACCAAUGAUUACGGCAUAGUGAAGUGAAGAGAAGAGAGGAGCAUUUCAUGAAUCCUUAACAUAGUUGGGAUAAUUGGGGAAAUUUCAAUUGUCACCACAAUGGGGCAGCAACGUGGAAAUGCACAGUUGGCGUGUUAACGAAAGAGAUUUGUCUUUAUGUAAAGAUUGCCCGUUAUUGUACUGAUUUGUAUCCGACAAGUUGUUUUUCAAAAGAAAGAAAGACACACACUUUCAAUGGCGAUGUUAAAUCUCAUAUAUAAGUACGCAAGUGUUUCAUAAUUUGUAUGAACUUCUGUUAUCGUAGUGUUGUAAAGAUCAAGUGUUAAACGUUUCUUCUGUUUUUCAUGUCCAUUAGUAACAUCUAAUAUUGCAUAUAAGUGUAAGAAAGGAAAUGCCCCUACAUAUUUGCAUGAUAACCAUAUGUCAUGUGUUUCUCAUUUCAGAUCAUAUUUUCUUCUGUUUUUUCCAUAAAGUGCAUAGAAAUAUAAAGUUUUUACAUGGACUGUGCAGGACCUGUAUAUUUUGAUCGGUAUUGCUUCAUGUUUGUAGUAACUUAAUUUUGUCCAUAGUAAUCCUAAGAUGAUUUUCAAAAAUGCAGUGUCCUUUAUAUGACAAAGUCAAAAAUAACUUGAACAAAUAAAUGAAAAAAACUGAGUUUCAUAAAAUAUCAAGUGUUAGUUCCUUAUUUUUGUUUUUGUCCUUGAAAGAAAAUUGAAAGAAGAAAAAAUCCACAAUGUCUAUCCCUGUGCCAUUUCAUUGAUGUAUAGCUUGGGUAAUAUAUCAUUUGUUUGUCAUUGAUAAUUUUUGUGGAGUGGAAAUUGGGAAUCAUGCAAAUAAAAUUUUAUCUUUAACUCGUG